RNAcentral lists this small RNA (732 nucleotides) under Pan troglodytes (chimpanzee). RNAcentral's name for it is "retained intron". The record is from RNAcentral. Lineage: Eukaryota; Metazoa; Chordata; Mammalia; Primates; Hominidae.
AGCAACGAGGUGAAUGACAUGGGAGACAGACCUGGGGUCUUUUAGGGACGGAAAGCCUCAGCCAAGACCCAGACUCCCAGGGUCAUCAACCUCCUCGGGUCACUAACCCUCCCCAGUGUCUGUCUACCCCUAAGUCCAGAGAACACGUCCUCUCUAGGCUCGAGCCGGAAUCAAUAUAGGCUACAAGGGCAUCAGUUCAGGCUGCCCGGAGGAGAGAAGGAAGUGCUGAUGUGGAGUCCUCCCUCCCCCUCCUCCUUCACCCCCAAGUGUUUCCCACGACUGCCCUCCCCCACCUCUAGCUGACCAUGGCAUCAGAGGCAGAGAAAACAUUCCAUCGGUUUGCUGCGUUUGGAGAAUCAUCAAGCAGUGGCACUGAAAUGAACAACAAGAACUUCUCCAAGCUGUGCAAAGACUGUGGCAUCAUGGAUGGCAAGACAGUCACCUCCACGGAUGUGGACAUCGUGUUCAGCAAAGUCAAGUGAGGAGCCAAAAAUAUGGAGGUGGGGGUGAGAAGAACCUGCGAGGUAGUUGGCCACGGAAGGGUUCAUGUGGUGGAACAUUUGCAGUGGGCCUACCAAGCACCACAGGGUACCUGGCGCUGUGCUAUUCUUUGUCUUCAAGACACUCACUGAUUGAUAGGACAAAAGAGGCCAAAUCUGAGUGAUGCAAGAGUUGGACCUUGGAAGGUAGUGCAUUCAUGCUCCAAAGUUUCUGGAUUUCUGUCUAACUGAC